UACGUAGGGGGCAAGCGUUGUCCGGAAUCAUUGGGCGUAAAGCGCGCGUAGGCGGCCAGAUAAGUCCGGUGUGAAAGUCAAAGGCUCAACCUUUGAAUGCCGCUGGAAACUGUCUGGCUAGAGUCCGGGAGGGGCGAGUGGAAUUCCUGGUGUAGCGGUGAAAUGCGCAGAUAUCAGGAGGAACACCAAUGGCGAAGGCAGCUCGCUGGAACGGUACUGACGCUGAGGCGCGAAAGCGUGGGGAGCGAACAGG
This 253-nucleotide ribosomal RNA is filed under the name uncultured bacterium. RNAcentral's name for it is "partial 16S ribosomal RNA". It matches the Rfam family "Bacterial small subunit ribosomal RNA", at positions 524 to 776 of the family's 1533-position model. The record is from RNAcentral.